UACAGAGGGGGCAAGCGUUAUUCGGAAUUAUUGGGCGUAAAGGGCGCGUAGGCGGCCUUGCAAGUGGCGGGUGAAAUCCCUCGGCUUAACCGAGGAACUGCCUGCCAGACUGCAAGGCUCGAGACCGGGAGAGGUGAGUGGAAUUCCCAGUGUAGCGGUGAAAUGCGUAGAUAUUGGGAGGAACACCAGUGGCGAAGGCAGCUCACAAAGCUGUAACUGACACUGAGGCUCGAAAGUGCGGGGAUCAAACAGG
This 253-nucleotide ribosomal RNA is filed under the name uncultured bacterium. RNAcentral's name for it is "partial 16S ribosomal RNA". It matches the Rfam family "Bacterial small subunit ribosomal RNA", at positions 524 to 776 of the family's 1533-position model. The record is from RNAcentral.